Molecule: microRNA precursor, 59 nt
Filed under: Callorhinchus milii (elephant shark)
Lineage: Eukaryota; Metazoa; Chordata; Chondrichthyes; Chimaeriformes; Callorhinchidae
Description: Cmi-Mir-19-P2d_pre stem-loop
Source: RNAcentral
AGCUUUGCUGGGUUGCAGCCAGCCUGUCCGACACGCUGUGCAAACCCACGCAGAACUGA